RNAcentral lists this ribosomal RNA (532 nucleotides) under uncultured bacterium. Its description in RNAcentral is "bacterial SSU rRNA". It matches the Rfam family "Bacterial small subunit ribosomal RNA", at positions 8 to 526 of the family's 1533-position model. The record is from RNAcentral.
AGAGUUUGAUCCUGGCUCAGGACGAACGCUGGCGGCGCGCUUAACACAUGCAAGUCGAGCGAGAACCAGACCUUCGGGUCUGGGGACAGCGGCGAACGGGUGAGUAACACGUGGGUAAUCAACCCUCGGUACUGGGAUAGCCCGGGGAAACCCGGAUUAAUACCGGAUGGCCCUUUGGAUCUUCGGAUCUGACGGAAAAGGUAGCUUCGGCCUCCGACCGAGGACGAGCCCGCGGCGGAUUAGCUUGUUGGUGGGGUAACGGCCUACCAAGGCGGCGAUCCGUAGCUGGUCUGAGAGGACGAUCAGCCACACUGGGACUGAGACACGGCCCAGACUCCUACGGGAGGCAGCAGUGGGGAAUCUUGCGCUAAUGCGGGAAACCGUGACGCAGCGACGCCGCGUGAGGGAAGAAGGCCUUCGGGUUGUAAACCUCUUUCAGGAGGGACGAAGCUACUCGGGUUAAUAGCCCAGAGGGUGACGGUACCUCCAGAAGAAGCCCCGGCUAACUACGUGCCAGCCGCCGCGGUAAUAC